RNAcentral lists this ribosomal RNA (263 nucleotides) under Clostridioides difficile. Its description in RNAcentral is "partial 23S ribosomal RNA". It matches the Rfam family "Bacterial large subunit ribosomal RNA", at positions 260 to 525 of the family's 2925-position model. The record is from RNAcentral. Lineage: Bacteria; Bacillati; Bacillota; Clostridia; Peptostreptococcales; Peptostreptococcaceae.
CGGAUUAGCCCAAACCAAUAAAGUUUUCUUUAUUGGGGUUGCGGACAUAUCAUAACGAAGAGGUAUCGUAAUUGAAGAGGUUUGGAAAGACCCACCACAGAAGGUAAUAGUCCUGUAUGUUAAACGAGAAGACUUCAGAUAUGAUCCAGAGUACCACGGGACACGUGAAACCCGGUGGGAAGCAGGAGGGACCACCCUCCAAGGCUAAAUACUACCUAGUGACCGAUAGCGUAUAGUACCGUGAGGGAAAGGUGAAAAGAACC